This 493-nucleotide ribosomal RNA is filed under the name uncultured bacterium. RNAcentral describes it as "partial 16S ribosomal RNA". It matches the Rfam family "Bacterial small subunit ribosomal RNA", at positions 29 to 523 of the family's 1533-position model. The record is from RNAcentral.
AUUGAACGCUGGCGGCAUGCUUUACACAUGCAAGUCGAACGGUAACAGGUUAAGCUGACGAGUGGCGAACGGGUGAGUAAUGCAUCGGAACGUGCCCGGUCGUGGGGGAUAACGCAGCGAAAGCUGCGCUAAUACCGCAUACGAUCUGAGGAUGAAAGCGGGGGACCGUAAGGCCUCGCGCGAUCGGAGCGGCCGAUGUCAGAUUAGGUAGUUGGUGGGGUAAAGGCUCACCAAGCCAACGAUCUGUAGCUGGUCUGAGAGGACGACCAGCCACACUGGGACUGAGACACGGCCCAGACUCCUACGGGCGGCAGCAGUGGGGAAUUUUGGACAAUGGGCGAAAGCCUGAUCCAGCAAUGCCGCGUGCAGGAAGAAGGCCUUCGGGUUGUAAGCUGCUUUUGUACGGAGCGAAAAGGUCUCCUCUAAUACAGGGGGCUCAUGACGGUACCGUAAGAAUAAGCACCGGCUAACUACGUGCCAGCCGCCGCGGUAA